GAAAAUUCUUCAAGAAACGAAUUGGGUUCAUCGAUACCAGCUUGUGGGUUGAGGUAGUGAUGAAUGGAAGAGAUUGUUUGUUCCGUAGAUUCAACAAUGACGGUAGGACACCAAAGGGGUGUCCAUCCUUUGAGAUGUAUGAGUUCAGAUAAUCUUGGUGCGUAGUUUUGGGGAGUGGUAAAAGCGAUGACACAGUUUCUUCUACUGUUUUCAGGG
RNAcentral lists this unclassified non-coding RNA (216 nucleotides) under Hevea brasiliensis (rubber tree). Lineage: Eukaryota; Viridiplantae; Streptophyta; Magnoliopsida; Malpighiales; Euphorbiaceae. The record is from RNAcentral.